Molecule: ribosomal RNA, 462 nt
Filed under: uncultured bacterium
Lineage: Bacteria
Description: bacterial SSU rRNA
Rfam family: Bacterial small subunit ribosomal RNA
Source: RNAcentral
GACGAACGCUGGCGGCGUGCCUAACACAUGCAAGUCGAACGAAGUUUUUAUGGAAUGCGACUUCGGUCAAAUGAAGUUUAAACUUAGUGGCGGACGGGUGAGUAACGCGUGAGCAACCUGCCUUUCAGAGGGGGAUAACGUUUGGAAACGAACGCUAAUACCGCAUGAUAUAACGCAAUCGCAUGAUUGUGUUAUCAAAGGAGCAAUCCGCUGAAAGAUGGGCUCGCGUCCGAUUAGGUAGUUGGUGGGGUAACGGCCUACCAAGCCGACGAUCGGUAGCCGGACUGAGAGGUUGAACGGCCACAUUGGGACUGAGACACGGCCCAGGACUCCUACGGGAGGCAGCAGUGGGGAAUAUUGGCACAAUGGGGGAAACCCUGAUGCAGCAACGCCGCGUGAGGGAAGACGGUUUUCGGAUUGUAAACCUCUGUCCUCUGUGAAGAAGAAAGUGACGGUAGCAGA